Molecule: ribosomal RNA, 442 nt
Filed under: Burkholderia sp. Mf265
Lineage: Bacteria; Pseudomonadati; Pseudomonadota; Betaproteobacteria; Burkholderiales; Burkholderiaceae
Description: bacterial SSU rRNA
Rfam family: Bacterial small subunit ribosomal RNA
Source: RNAcentral
GGCGAGUGGCGAACGGGUGAGUAAUACAUCGGAACGUGUCCUGGAGUGGGGGAUAGCCCGGCGAAAGCCGGAUUAAUACCGCAUACGCUCUGUGGAGGAAAGCGGGGGAUCUUCGGACCUCGCGCUCAAGGGGCGGCCGAUGGCAGAUUAGCUAGUUGGUGGGGUAAAGGCCUACCAAGGCGACGAUCUGUAGCUGGUCUGAGAGGACGACCAGCCACACUGGGACUGAGACACGGCCCAGACUCCUACGGGAGGCAGCAGUGGGGAAUUUUGGACAAUGGGGGCAACCCUGAUCCAGCAAUGCCGCGUGUGUGAAGAAGGCCUUCGGGUUGUAAAGCACUUUUGUCCGGAAAGAAAACCUCUGGGUUAAUACCCUGGGGGGAUGACGGUACCGGAAGAAUAAGCACCGGCUAACUACGUGCCAGCAGCCGCGGUAAUACGU